UGCAAAUUACUUGGAUAGAAAUAGCACAGAGCUGGUUUGAUUAAAAUGUGAUACAUAUUUUGAAUUAAAAAUAUGCAAGGUCUUACCAAAUGACCUCAGUGUCGUGUCUCUCCUUGCCCCAAGGCCCCUGAAGGAAUUUGCAUGAUCAUUUGGAGACAGCUUCUCCCUUUCCCUCUGUGGAUCCAGAAUCUCUGCCAUUCAUGGAAAAUCAGCAUGAAAAGCAUAAAUCCAUGGGAAUGAGUGGAAUUGAGUGUGGCACCAUCUCUGCUGAACUGUGGAAACUUUCUGCAAUUAAUUGCACAAUCACUUCAUUUGGAAGAGCAACUGCUAUCAGCUCUGAAUGGCUCCCACAUCUCAGGCACCACUGAGCAGCGGGGUGUUGGCAGCAGAGAGGCUGAAACCUUCUCUCAACACAGGCAAAUAUUUCUGGGCAUCAGCAGCUCCUGCAGCAGAGCCCUGGACCAAUCUGCAUCUUUUCUCCAUCCCAAAACCCUCUGCAUGGAAUUUCCAGGUGCUGGCUGAGCUGAAGCUGAGGAAGGAGAGGAGGUGGCUUUGUCAUUUUUCUGCUGCUCUGUGACUCUGCUCCGGGCCCGUAAUGCACUGCACUGGAAGAAGAAAAGAAUAUUUACACUAUUACAGG
Zonotrichia albicollis (white-throated sparrow) is the source of this 640-nucleotide non-coding RNA. Lineage: Eukaryota; Metazoa; Chordata; Aves; Passeriformes; Passerellidae. The record is from RefSeq and is a predicted model, not a curated record.